UAGCCGUUCUUCUGGCACACAAAACCUGGAAGACGCUUCCUAGAAGAGUUAGCAUGGCUGAAAACACAAUUCAUUUGUUGUUGCUACUUGGAUUACUCUUUGCAAGAGAGUGCUGCAACGCUGAUCGAAACACUACUAAACGAAGAGACAUUGUAAAGUUUGUUAACACGAGUGAGCUUAUCUGGACAUAUCAUAGCACAAAACCAAGUUUAAGGUGCAAAGUAGACCAGAAGACGCACCUUAAUGCAACGAGCAUCAUCUUUGAAAGAUCGCAUUACAGAAAAAAGACCGGGAACUGGACACAUAAGUUUCUCCAAGGAACAUUUGGCUAUUGGCUUCCAAAAUAUAACCAAUCCUACGAAGUGAUGUAUAUAAGCCCUGUGGGACUAAGUCCCCACUGGAAGACAGAAGAAGCACUGCUGUACCAAAGCAACAAUAACACUUGUGGCGUGUUCAUGAUUCUCCACAAAG
Rhipicephalus sanguineus (brown dog tick) is the source of this 471-nucleotide long non-coding RNA. RefSeq lists it as uncharacterized. The record is from RefSeq and is a predicted model, not a curated record. NCBI's taxonomy places the organism in Eukaryota, Metazoa, Arthropoda, Arachnida, Ixodida, Ixodidae. The transcript has 4 exons.